This 339-nucleotide long non-coding RNA is filed under the name Equus caballus (horse). RNAcentral describes it as "lncRNA (ENSECAG00000051306.1)". The record is from RNAcentral. Lineage: Eukaryota; Metazoa; Chordata; Mammalia; Perissodactyla; Equidae.
CCUCGGCUCUCCUGAACAACCUACUGGGGGCAUGAAAGCAGCAGGACUGGUCUUGGGAGAAGCUUGUCCACCAGGUCCUGAAGCCGGAGGAUGUUCUUGCGGUCCUCCUCGGCCUGCAAACACAGCACCCGUGCAGGGCCCAAACCCACUGCGGCUUCCGAUGGGGUCUGAGCAGCAAAGCGCUUGGGGAGGUUUCUGAGACCUCUACCUGGGACAACAGAGACGUUCUAACAACCUCCUCCGCGCAGCCCUUCUCCAAAAUGUCAACUGGUAGCGGAGCCCAUUUUGAAAAGAAAUGAAAUAAACUAUCCCAGGUCUAAGGGAAAAGCAAGGGUACAG